This 458-nucleotide ribosomal RNA is filed under the name uncultured bacterium. RNAcentral describes it as "partial 16S ribosomal RNA". It matches the Rfam family "Bacterial small subunit ribosomal RNA", at positions 338 to 795 of the family's 1533-position model. The record is from RNAcentral.
CCUACGGGUGGCAGCAGUGGGGAAUAUUGCACAAUGGGGGAAACCCUGAUGCAGCGACGCCGCGUGAGUGAAGAAGUAUUUCGUUACGUAAAGCUCUAUCAGCAGGGAAGAAACACUGACUUUCCGGUCAGCAGACGGUAGCUGCGUACGAACCCCCGGCUACCUACGUGCCAGGAGGCGCGGUAAUACGUAGGGGGCAAGCGUUAUCCGGAUUUACUGGGGGUAAUGGGAGCGUAGACGGCGGGCCAAGUCUGGAGUGAAAUGCCGGGGCUUAACUGCGGAACUGCGUUGGAAACUGGCGGGCUAGAGUGCGGGAGGGGAAGGCGGAAUUCCUAGUGUAGCGGUGAAAUGCGUAGAUAUUAGGAGGAACACCGGUGGCGAAGGCGGCUUACUGGACCGUAACUGACGUUGAGGCUCGAAAGCGUGGGGAGCAAACAGGAUUAGAUACCCGAGUAGUC